ACAAACCAAUGCCGCCUCCACCGCUUGAUCGUCGGAUUCGACAUCGAAUGGCGCCCCAAUUUCAUCUCAGGCGCUGCUCAAAACCCCGUUGCAAUACUCCAACUCUGCGUCGGAACAAGGUGUCUUAUCUACCAAAUUAUUCACGCACCUUCCAUCCCCUGGCGACUCCGUAACUUCCUCAACGACGACGAUUACAGAUUCGUUGGCGUCGGUAUUGAGAAUGACGCGAAGAAGUUGUUGAAUGAUUACGGAAUUGAACUUUCGGAUAAGGUUGAUCUCCGGGAGUGGGCGGCGGAGGAGCUUGAUAAUGACAAUCUGCGGCGUGCUGGGCUUAAAGAUCUGGUGAGGGAAGUUGUUGGAACACAGAUUUACAAGCCGAAGAGUGUUACUUUGAGUGCUUGGGAUGAGCGUUGGCUUAGCCUUGAUCAGAUAUGUUAUGCUUGUCUUGAUGCUUAUCUUUCUUUUGAAGUUGGCAGACUCUUGGAUUCUUGGUAUUAAUUAGAAUAUAUAUCAUGUUUAUAUUGCUAUAUAGUAUGGUCUAGCAAUAUAAUCGUAGAUUGUUGAUGUAUGCAUUUCGUUUCAGUACUAUAUAUGUUGAUAAGCUACUGCUAUUUGCUUAUAUCAUCGCAGAUUAUUGAUGUAUGUAUUUUGUUGUAGGAUGUUCCUUUUAUUAAUGUUGUCCUAGAUUAUUAAUGUGUGCAUUCGAUCUGUUAUAGUGAAUGUUCCUUCUAAUAAGUAUUCUCAAGGAGUGAUCUAGUGGUCAAUGAAGUGUGUUAGCAAUGUCUUAAGUUCAAAAUCCGAUAGAAACAAAAUACUAGAUCUGUUCUUCGCAUCUUUUUAAAUUUUUGAUAGACCUUAUACAUGUUUAGAUGGCGGGUCAUUGGAAUCAGUCGAGGCAUGGACACUAGGGUUAUUUAAAAAAAACAAAGGAUUCUCAAGUUCAUAAGUUGGACAACUACUUCGGACUUGACCAAGUAGAUAGUUCAUUCCUAUUUUACUUCUUUGUAAAGCUCCAUAAAUUAUAUAGUAUUCCAAGUAAUUUAACAUAAGUCACACUACGCAAGUCUUGGAACAUAUGAUUAUAGGUGUUUUUGAUAAAUUGGUUGCAGGUUGGAUUGCUAAGUCCAUAUAUAUUCAUGGUUGGUUGGGGGAAGAAAUUAUUGUGAUUUUAAGCUACGCUUAGAGAAAUUAGGGGAUUUUAGAUUAAGGACUGUGAAAAAUAUCUAAAGUGAAUUUUUUGAAAGAAUAAGUAUCAUAAUUUUCUAGUUAAAUUUUUAGAAUGGUCUAGGUAGUGAAACAUUGGUUCUAGAUAAGUUUUUGGGAUAAUCUAGUGUAGUCACUAGGAUAAAGAAAUAUUUAGAGUAGAAGUAGAAGAUAAAGACCUCUAGAUUUUUCUUUUCGAAGUAUCUAGAAGAUUUUCUAGAAUCAUCUAUGCACAAGUAUAAAUAGGGUUGUCUUGAACAUUUGUAACCAUCUAAAAAACAAAAUUCAAUACAAAACAUAUCCAAGUAGUCUUCUUCCAAAUUCAAGUUCUUGUUUCAAUAUCUUCCAUUCACUUUUCUAGCUUACUCUUCUUAGUUGAAUAUUCCGAUCUUAGUUAACAAUCUUGGUCUAGCACUUUUCUAGCUUACUCUUUUUAGUUGAAUCUUUCGAUCUUAGUUAACAAUCUUGGGCUAGCAGAAGGUUUCUCCAACUACACCUUUCUUUUGCUAUUCUCUACAUGGUAUCAGAGCCAAAGUCAUGGAUUGGCUUGUGUUUAUUUCAAGAUCGGAUUCGUGGUUGAUUCAACUAAUUUGUACGAAUGAAUUUAAGCAGUUGCAUUAAUGGACUGGGAAUGGAGUUGUUGAAUUAGUCCAAUUACAAGGUAUGAAAAACUUGUAUGGAGUCACACCUUAUGGGCGAGGGUUUGUGGGAUGUUGUUAACGGGAAUAACAGAAGUCCUCUAGAUGACGGAUCGAAGAAUAAUAGUGCAUAAAAGAAGUGGAAGCAGAUUAACGCAAAGGCAGAGUUUAUUCUGAAUAGUUCUAUCUCCUCCGUUUUAUUUGAUCAUAUUAUAAGGUGUAAACCAGCUCAUGAAAUUUGGUGGACGCUCGACCAAUUAUUCAACAAGAAAAAUGAAACUCAUUUAUAGCUAUUGGAGAAUGAAUUGGCGAACAUCACUGAAGGUAAUCUUUCUAUUCUGAAGCACAAAUGAGAAGAAUUAUCAUUCAUGGUUUGAAGCAAGAAUAUAUUUCCUUUGUGACAUCUAUUCAAGGAUGGGCUAAAUAACCAUCCCUGGAGGAAUUUGAGAAUUUGUUGUCGUCAUAGGAGUUAUUAGCCAAACAAUUGGCUGGUGAAUUAGUCAAAGAAAGGGAAGGAAAUGCUCUUGUAGCUGACAAGAGAAACGUUAAAGGAAAAGCAAGAGAUAUGCCUCAUUCCCGAUUCGCAUGUGGUUCAAGCUCGCCUGAAAAGAAGGAAGAGCCUUUUAACAAUUAUAAAAAACCUCUCAGAUGUUAUCGGUGUGGCAAAACAGGACAUAUAAGAAGAUAUUGUUGAGCCACAAAGAGCAACAUGGUUCAUAUUGAAAAAGUUGUUGAAGAAGAAGAAGGCUGGGAAAGAUGCUUAGAAGCUGAGAGUCGAGCAAUAAAUGUCUUGCCUUUCAUAAAUUUGGAAAGCGAUUGUAUCGAAUGUAAUACAAUCUGUUAUUUAGAGAAGUAAGACAAGGAUAAGAAGCAAAAGGAUACCGAAGAUGUUCAGACUUGAGACGUGGUAGCUACUAUCGAGGACAUUAAAGAAGCAAAUUCUGAAAUUGGCCAUAAAAGUUUGAACGUGAAAGAUGUUGAAGUAGAUUCUGAGGAGACAGUGUCUGAAAAUUAAUAUGUCAGUGAUGACAUUAUCAGAGAAACUAUUAAGGAAGAUGUAGUAGAAGUUGAAGUCUUUGAUCAAUCAUUCAUUGCAUCAAGUUCAAUCAUUGGCUCAGAGGAAAUAUUGAAAGUUGAAGAAGAUAACAAUCCAAAGAAUGAUGAAGUUGAAAGAGAAGUCUCAAUUUUAGAUGAAGAGACAUACAAUAUGAUUGAAGAGCUAGAGACAAAAUCUAGUGGUGGAUCCUACUAUGGUGCUAAGGCCUCACAAAAAAUUGAUGAUCAGAUCGUCAUCGAAUCAAAUGAGGAGACUGAUACAGAUGAAAUGUCCUUGUGUUAUGGAGUUGCUUUAGAAAGAGUAAGUUCUAAAAUCUUGAAUGCUAGAACUCCAAACCUUUUCAUCACAUUUGUCUCCAGAUAAUGAAGUUGUGGAGGAGUUCGGAGAAAGGGAGAGCUCGAGAACUCAACAUCAUAAAACACAUCAAGGACAAAUCAAUGACGAAAAAUCUUCAUUAUUGGAAGGAGAAAAAGAAAUUUGAAAAAAAUUGCUAAGAGUUUCACCAAGGCAUGGUUCAAAGCUUCGUUUGAGUUCUUCUGCAACGAGUUUGGGAUAACUUCCAAAAAUCACUUUAAGGGGGAGUGUGAAAAAUAUCUAAAGUAGAUUUUUCGGAAGAAUAAGUAUUAUAAUUUUCUAGUUAAAUUUCUAGAAUAGUCUAGUUAGUGAAACAUUAGUUCUAGAUAAGUUUCUUGGAUAAUCUAGUGUAGUCACUUGGAUAAGUAAAUAUCUAGAGUAGAAGUAGAAGAUAAAGAUCUCUAAAUUUUUCUUGCAGAAGUAUCUAGAAGAUUUUCUAGAAUAAUCUAUACACAAGUAUAAAUAGGGAUGUCUUGAACAUUUCUAAUUAUCCAAAAAAUAAAAUCCGAUACAAAGCGUAUCCAAGUAGUCUUCUUCCAAAUCCAAGUUCUUCUGUCAAUAUCUUUCUUCACUUUUCUAGUUUUCUCUUCUUAGUUGAAUCUUUCAAUCUUAGUUAACGGUCUUGUGCUAACAGAAGGUCUCUCCAACUAUACAUUUCUUCUGCUAUUCUCUACAAGGACAUGACCUCCUACCAUAAAAUUUGAGUUCUUCCUUAUGAUAUUUUGGGUUGAUCAUAACUCAUUCUUCUCAAAAUCCACCCAAUGAAAGUAAUUAUACUCUCUCCCACUUUUUUAGUUACUUUACUCUCUCUCCUUAUUAAUAUACAUAACAUAGCCGAUAUAUACAUAGCAUUAUAUGUAUAUGUUGGAAUUUUUAUAAUAUAUUUAGGGAGUUGGGAUUUUUUAUAAUAUUGAAAAUAUAAGUUGUGUAUUUGUGUAAUUUUUAAUAUUAUUUUCUCUCUGUUUGGUGUAUCUUUCCGAGAAGCUGAUAAACUCCUUUUAUAGGAGAGAAAUGUUGUGUUUUGAUGUCAUUGCUGACAUAAAUAAGGAUUGCAAUAUCAACCAUUGCAACCGAAGAAAUAUUGCAGAUGUACUCUUUGCCAAAAAAGUUGAAAAAAUCGUGGCAUACUUUGAAAAGUUAGCCAUCGCAUUAUGGGUUGGACCCCACAAAUUGUAACCAUGUCCACUACUAUAAUCCAUAUUAUAGGUAAAUUCAGAGUCCGAAACCAUUCUAUGCCACCAAACUAUGCCAUAUAUUUAAAAAUGUAUCAAUCUAUGCUUAACUCACAAAAAUUGUGAGUUAUGCACAAAUAUCUUUAACGGAAGGCAGCUCAUGGUGUUAAUUUUUUUGAAAAGUGCAUAACUCACAAUUUUUGUGAGUUAUUCAUUUUUAUUUUAACAUAACUCACAAAAAUUGUGAGUUAUGCAUUCUUAUUUUAACAUAACUCACAGUUUUUGUGAGUUGUUCAUUCUUAUUUUAAUAUAACUCACAAAAAUUGUGAGUUAUGCAUUUUAUUUUAACAUAACUCACAAUUUUUGUGAGUUAUGCAUUCUUAUUUUUAACAUAACUUUAGUACAUUCAACAAGCAUGAAUAAUAAUUACAUGAAAUUAGCAAUAUAAAUAAUAAUAACAUGAAAUUAACAAACAUAACUUAUUAGCGAUGAUAUUUUAGACCUGCCGAUAAUAAUCGACAAUAUCCAAGCUUAGUGACAAAUGAACAUUUGUAGAUGUUCCAGCAUUGUGCAUCCAUCCAAGUUGAGAUGAUUGACCAUAAUUAUAGUCAUUAAAUAAAUCAACAUUAUUUGUGUCACGCAGAGUUAAGCCCCUAAAUAAAAUAUAGAGAAAAUACAUAAUUACACCACUGAUGUUGUCCGAGAUUUUGAAAAAGACACCUAAACUUUCAAUACCGCUUAUUACACCACGAUUCUUAUUUAAUCCCCUGCAAAUACAUCAUUUUUACUUAUUUUUUGUCUCUGCGUGUAGUCACGCAUGCCAAACGCAUGAACAAUUAAAUGUAAUUCAGUUACCCAAUUAAACUCUGUCACGUGUCAAUUAAAUGUCUUAAAAAUGAAAUUCUCUUCUUCUUCUCCUCUUUAAAACCACAACCUCCUUCCAGUUGCCAUUAACGAUUAUUUUGAAGAAAUGUUUUGCCUUUUUUUCUAAUCUUCUCUCAACAAAAUCAACCUUAAAAGGUAAGAUAUUUCUAUUUAUGUUGUAAUUUUUAAAGAAAUUCAGUCCUAAAAGCUUUAAUUUCGUCUUAAUUUUUUUAAUUUGUUUGAAAUCAUGUUAAAUUUUGUGUCUAGGUAUUUGCUGAAAAUAGUUUUACAAUGUCAAAUGCAAUCUUUAAUCGAAUUUAUAAUGACGAGAACCAUCUCGUGUUGUGUGUAAAAAUGCAAUGCAAACGUGGAGACUUACUGUCAAUGCAAACGUCAUGGUCGGAGGACAACCCAGCUAGAAGAUUUUGGUCUUGUCCACGCUAUCGUGUAUGUCCUAUACAUGUUUUCUUAUUUUUUUGCUCUUGUUUCGGUUCAAUUGAUUUAUUUAUGCUCCUUUGAGGAGAAAUCAUGCAACUUCUUUAGAUGGAGGGACCCGAAAAAGACUGAUUUACGAUUAAAGACAGCUAUUCCGAGAUUGGCGAAGAGAAUCAAGGAGUUGCAAAAAGCAUUGACAUUUUAUUAAAGUAAUGGCAAAUGGGUGGUGAAUAAGGAGAAGAAGAGCAAAUGUUGUAGUUGGAAGCUCAUCAUCAUGAUUGUCGUAAUAUUUUUUCUAUUUUGGACUAGCAUUAUCAAGAGAACGGAUGAUAAUAAUCGAAUUUAUAAUGACGAGAACCAUCUCGUGUUGUGUGUAAAAAUGCAAUGCAAACGUGGAGACUUACUGUCAAUGCAAACGUCAUGGUCGGAGGACAACCCAGCUAGAAGAUUUUGGUCUUGUCCACGCUAUCGUGUAUGUCCUAUACAUGUUUUCUUAUUUUUUUGCUCUUGUUUCGGUUCAAUUGAUUUAUUUAUGCUCCUUUGAGGAGAAAUCAUGCAACUUCUUUAGAUGGAGGGACCCGAAAAAGACUGAUUUACGAUUAAAGACAGCUAUUCCGAGAUUGGCGAAGAGAAUCAAGACAAUUUAUUUUGUAUCAAUAUAUUGUGAUAUUGACAACAUUUGUGAGCAUUCAAAACGUAAAGUGCAAUGAAUAGACUAACAAAACAACCAUAAUAAGAGAAAAUAAGGACUUCAUUUAACACAUUCAUACGCUUGUUUCAAUUUGAACAACAAAACUUGUUUUGUUUGGUACCUAACAAAACAUACCUUGAUACCUAAAGGCACCUAACAAAACAAACUGCCCAAAACAUUGUUUGAUUGCUACAAAACAAGAACAAAAGCCUAUCACCAUCAACAAAACAUACAAAAAGUAAUUAUUUGUGACAAUAUCAUCAAUCUCCACCAAAAUAUACACAUCAUAUCAGCAAGAUCUACUUCCAUGGCACAUGAGUCUUCCUAGUUGAAAUGUUUUUGCCUUGACUUUUGGCAGCAGCUGUAGACCUCGUUUGAAUAACCUUUUCCGUCCUCAUUUUUUAAAGUUUUCUAUUGAUAAUGGCCGACUUCCCUUUUCAUUUGAAUCCUUGUCUUGGUGUGUAGCCAAUAUCACCAGUCAUAACUUCAGAUCUCUUUGUGCCCUUUGCACCAGUGCUAAUGACUCUUCUGCUUGACAUUCCAGGCUGCACAAACAAAAAUUCUACAAAGUACUUACAUUAAGAUUGGUAAAUCCAUCUUCAGCUUGGUAUAUUUCAAUCCCCACUAUCUUUGAUCUUUUAAAAGGUCUUGUAUGUCCUCCACUAUUGUCCUCAUGAUUUUGCCUUUGAGGAGGCACACCCCUUCCUUUUCCCCUUCCACUGGCAGGACUGGUUUGGCUCUCUUGAGUCAUUCCUCUUCCUCGACAACUUGAGAUAUUUGAAACACUUGAACCACCUGAAACACUGUCUUUUCCUCUACCUUUUACUCUACCUCUUUCUUUAGUAACACUUGCAAUGUUUGUGGUGGCCUAAUUAUUGAGAUAUUAGUACACAAACGUAAAAAAAAAUUGAUAGUAACAAAUAAAUAAAUAUACCUCUUGCUGGUAAGAUUUUCCAGGUGAAUGAAUUGGACCAGUGCCCCUUGCUCUCCCUCUUUCUCUACCAGUAGAAGCUCCAGCUUAUGUUUUAAGAGAUUAGUCCUUGUCCUUGUACUUAACAGAAUGUAUAUUAGAUAAUGAUUAUACAAAUACAUGUGCCUGAGAAGAUGUUCCAGCUGAUUGACUUAUACCAGGUUGAUCUCUUGUAGGACAUGAUCUUAUAUUAUGUCCCUGAGUACCACAUUUACUACAAGUAAUUACAGUACCACAUUUGCUAAGUUUUCCAGUUUUUCUACUUUCAUCAGCCCCCUUUCUUCUAAUUUUAUGUGGUCUUCCAGGCAACUUCCUGAUCUUUGGUGGCUUCACAGUAGGAUUAUUUGAUGUUGGCCACAUUUUUGUAUUAUUCAUUGGUUGAAUAAAAUGAGCAUAUGUGCUGAGGUAGGUAUCCUUGUGAUAGCAGGUGUCCACAAAUUAAUGGGCUCAUAUUCCUUGCGGUGAAGGGCAGCAACACCAUGAAGAUAAGAAAUGCCCCUAAGCUGCCAAGCUUUGCAACUGCAGCUUCUACUAACAAUUUCAACAGUAUGAGUUCAACCCCUGUCAACAAUCUCAAAACCUCUUUCCCCAUUUCAAGACAAAUUGCACUGCAUUGACUUGUCAAUAUUUUCUUGUAAAAUCUUCAAAGCCAUGGGAGAAAUAUCAAUGAUCCAAGUAUUUGAAAAUUGUCUCAACUGACCAAUUCUUUUCAUCAUUUUCACCCUAAUCUCCUCAAGCAUUGUGAUGAUUGUUUUGAACCUUGCAGGAAGUACCCAUACAUUAAAACUCUCUGCUAUAUUGUUAUCCACAACAUCACAUUUGCAAUGCUCUUCAAAGUAUCUUUUACACCAUGUCUUCAAAUUAUACCACAAAAGAUCAUCCAAACGAUCCCUCCCCAACAUCUUCAUUGCUUCUAUAUUCUCCUUCAAUUCUACUUCAAAUGUGAAUUUUGCAAUCUUCCAAAAUACUCUUCUCCUUUUUAUACCUUUUCAGAGCUUACACCAAUUAGCAAGAACAUGUCUUGCACAUUUUUUGUGUUCAAUCAGUGGCAGCAGCUCUUUUACAGCUAUUUUCAAUCCCUAACAAAACAAAAUAAGUAUAUUAAUCUACCAACAGUUGUUAAAGAAAGAAAAAAAAAGCAAAUAGUUGUUAAGAAUAGAGUUAUACCCUUUGCAUAUCAGAUCUGAUGCUCAAUUGAUGACCUUCUCCAAACUCAAGGUCAUUCUUCAGCAGUUCAACAAACCAACCCCAUGUAAAUUGAUUCUCAACCUCAACAAUUGUCCAGGAAAUAGGCAACAUUUGGUUGUUUCCAUCUCUGCAAACAACCACCAACAUUUGACCUUUGCACACACCUUUGAGGAAAUAACCAUCUAAACCAAUCUUCUAGCACCUUUAAAGAAUGUUUUCUUUAAAGCAUGAAAGCACACAUAAAAACCUUGAAAGAUCAACUGUCCAGUAUCAUCAGCAUCUCCAACUUUGACAACACAAGUUCUACCUAGAGUAGUCCUCAAAAUCUCAUCCUUGUAAUAAAAAAUCCUACCUUGUAAUCUUAAUGUAGUCUCUUAACUCAAAGUAGGACAUCAUAUCAACAUCUUUAUCGAAAAACUCAGUCACAGACCCACCAAUAUAUUUAGGUGGAGGACCAAAUUCUAUUUCACCCCUAUGAUACCAUCUUAAAGUUAUAAGCACAAAAAUCAUCAAAAGAUACCUGAAAAAACAACAAUUUAAUCACACAAACACAUUGAAAUCAGUAAACAAAGAAAAAAAACACCCCACCCCACUCACCCCCACUUGACACACACCCAAAAAGAAUUCGAAGUUGUACAUGUUACUACAACACCGUAACAGUAACAACAACAAAUGCAAAAAAUCGACAAACAUCCAACAAACACAUAAGUCAAUAUGUUCAUAUUUGCAUCAAUUUCAGUAAAUUAUGUUUCCCCCCCCCCCCCCCCCCAAAAAAAAAAAAUAUAACUUCGAAGAAUUCAUCAAAUCGAUAAAAUUAAACAUAAUCGUUGUACAUGCAUAAGUCAAUAUGUUCAUAGUUGCAUCAAUUUCACUAAAUUAUGAGCUAAAAAAUAUUUACCCAAAAAAAAAAAAUAACUUCAAAAAAUCUAUGAUUGGAGAGAUUAAAACUACAAUACACAAAACCCUAACUUGUAAAAUCCUCACUCCUAGGUUAAUACGUUUCCCCCCCAACAAAUUUUUCUCCCAAACACCUUCGAUCUCCUUCGAGUGUGAGCUUAGAGUCUAAGUCGCGACAGAUAGGAGAGAAAAAUCAAAGAAGAGAGAGAGAGAGAGAAAUGGGAAAUGAAUCGUUUCAAAUGAUUCAGAUAUUUUAUUACAAUCGGGUCGGGCUAUUGGGUUAAACCCAACCUUUUUAACCUUUUAAUAAUUAAAUUAUUAUUUAAAAAGAGAGUGCAAACCACGCGCCUAAAGGUUGCUGCAGAAUAUGGUCAAAAUGGUGUAUUUACAAGGGAUUAAAUAAGAAUCAUGGGGUAAUAGGCGGUAUUUAAAAUUUAAGUGUCUUUUUGAAAAUCUCGGACAACAUUAGUGGUGUAAUUAUGUAUUUUCUCUAAAAUAUAACAUAUGACAUAAGAAAUAGACAAAAAAAAUCAUUAAAAAUAUAAAAUAUUAAUAAUAACACAAAUUAAGAAAAAAUACCGAUAACUUUCAUUCAAAGUUUCAUUCAAAUCAAGUAUUGAGAAUUGUGUUGGCAUGUUACUCGGCAUGAUGUAUUGGGGAGCAUUCAUGUCAAAAAAAGUAUUGUAUUGAGUUAAAUGAGCAUUAACAUCACUUGUUGGAUCAUCAAAUUGUGUCUGCACAUUUAUCUGAAUCGGAGACUGCAGAAGAUGAUUUUUACGCUCCUUCUUAACAUAAACUUGAAGAAUGUUCAGCUUUAUUUGACUAGCAUAGUCACAAGGAGCCCUUAGAAAUUCAGUCAACGACUCAUCAUCACUAAUAAUCCAUUCUCCGUAAUUUACCAUUCCUUGAGAUGAGAAGGAAUUUGGAUACUGCCCGAAUAUAAAUAAAUCAAAAUCAUUAUUUUUUAGUUUCAUUCUUCUAAAAAUUAAUUCUACAAAUUCUCUAUAACCAAUUGAAAUUGGAUACUUCGCGUUGGACUUGGGGGACAUACUAUAAUAUAUUGUAUUUCCCUUAAAUGAGCAUUAACAUCACUUGUUGGAUCAUCAAAUUGUGUCUGCACAUUUAUCUGAAUCGGAGACUGCAGAAGAUGAUUUUUACGCUCCUUCUUAACAUAAACUUGAAGAAUGUUCAGCUUUAUUUGACUAGCAUAGUCACAAGGAGCCCUUAGAAAUUCAGUCAACGACUCAUCAUCACUAAUAAUCCAUUCUCCGUAAUUUACCAUUCCUUGAGAUGAGAAGGAAUUUGGAUACUGCCCGAAUAUAAAUAAAUCAAAAUCAUUAUUUUUUAGUUUCAUUCUUCUAAAAAUUAAUUCUACAAAUUCUCUAUAACCAAUUGAAAUUGGAUACUUCGCGUUGGACUUGGGGGACAUACUAUAAUAUAUUGUAUUUCCCUCGUGAAUAAUUUCAUCAUCCCAAAAAAGUGCAACUUUAACACGUUCAAAAUUUAUUCUCUAAAAUUUGAUAAAAUUUUGAAAAGAUAAAUUGAGUUUGAAGAUGAUUGAAAAAAAAGAAGAAGAAUUGAAGUUGAAGAAGAAGAAGAAUUUGAAAACUAUAUACAAAGAAUGAAUGUAUACGGGUGUUUAACUAGGAGAAUUUGAUAAAACUGAUGUAUAACUCACAAAAAAAGGUGAGUUAUAUACUUUUAUGAGUUAUAUGUUAAAUAGAAUUUCGGAAACGUUUUUCAUUAUUUAAAUAACUCACAAAUGAAUGGAUAACUCACAAUUUAUUUGAGUUAUGUUAAAAUAAAAGGCAUAACUCACAAUUUUUGUGAGUUAUGUUAUAAUAAAAUGCAUAACUCACAAAAAUCGUGAGUUAUGUUAAAAAUAAGAAUGCAUAACUCACAAUUCUUGUGAGUUGUGUUAAAAUAAGAAUGAAUAACUCACAAAAACUAUGAGUUAUGUUAAAAUAAGAAUGCAUAACUCAUAAUUUUUGUGAAUAAUGUUGAAAAUAAAAUGCAUAAAUCACAAUUUUUGUGAGUUAUGCUAAAAUAAGAAUGAAUAACUCACAAUUUUUGUGAGUUAUGUACUUUUCAAAAAAAUUAACACGUUAAGCUGUCUUCCGUUAAAGAUAUUUGUGCAUAACUCACAAUUUUUGUGAGUUAAGCAUAGAUUAGUACAUUUUUGAAUAUAUGUCAUAAUUUGAUAUUUUUUUUAAUUUGGUGGCAUAGAAUAAUUCCAGACUCAUAACUUCAUAUUAGUAAUAAGAUUUAAUUCGGCCGUCGGUUACAAUCCUAAAUUUAUGCCCGGAUAAUAAUCAUUCUCUCCUCCCCUUCUCAUCCAAACUCUUAAUUUUGACAUUAAUAGGCUUUAACCGACACGUCGGUUACAACCCUAAUAAGUACUAUAUUUCUCAGUCCCAUUUGGACUCCUAAAUUCACAACAAUACAGUCUUCAUCAUACUUUCUUCGUUUUUGAACGCAAUGAGUGUGAGGAUCAAAAACUAUCAGUUGACUUGCAAGAGUCACAAACAGUACGAUGUGAUUUUCGAAGAUACCGAAAUCGAAACAAUCGUCACUCGUGAUCCCGCACAGGUUUGUUCCUGGAUCAACGAAACUGAAGAAACAAACCAAUGCCGUCUCCACCGCUUGAUCGUCGGAUUCGACAUCGAAUGGCGCCCGAAUUUCUACCCAGGCGCUGGUCAAAACCCCGUUGCAACACUCCAACUCUGCGUCGGAACAAGGUGUCUUAUCUACCAAAUUAUUCACGCACCUUCCAUCCCCUGGCGACUCCGUAACUUCCUCAACGACGACGAUUACAGAUUCGUUGGCGUCGGUAUUGAGAAUGACGCGAAGAAGUUGUUGAAUGAUUACGGAAUUGAACUUUCG
Molecule: long non-coding RNA, 12352 nt
Filed under: Capsicum annuum
Lineage: Eukaryota; Viridiplantae; Streptophyta; Magnoliopsida; Solanales; Solanaceae
Description: long non-coding RNA (CANN_LNC003588)
Source: RNAcentral